ACGGAAGGCAGCAGUGGGGAAUAUUGCACAAUGGGCGAAAGCCUGAUGCAGCGACGCCGCGUGAGUGAAGAAGUAUCUCGGUAUGUAAAGCUCUAUCAGCAGGGAAGAAAAUGACGGUACCUGACUAAGAAGCCCCGGCUAACUACGUGCCAGCAGCCGCGGUAAUACGUAGGGGGCAAGCGUUAUCCGGAUUUACUGGGUGUAAAGGGAGCGUAGACGGUUUGGCAAGUCUGAAGUGAAAUGCGGGGGCUCAACUCCUGAACUGCUUUGGAAACUGUCGAACUAGAGUGCAGGAGAGGUAAGUGGAAUUCCUAGUGUAGCGGUGAAAUGCGUAGAUAUUAGGAGGAACACCGGUGGCGAAGGCGGCUUACUGGACUGUAACUGACGUUGAGGCUCGAAAGCGUGGGGAGCAAACAGGAUUAGAUACCCUGGUA
RNAcentral lists this ribosomal RNA (434 nucleotides) under uncultured Lachnospiraceae bacterium. Its description in RNAcentral is "partial 16S ribosomal RNA". It matches the Rfam family "Bacterial small subunit ribosomal RNA", at positions 341 to 792 of the family's 1533-position model. Lineage: Bacteria; Bacillati; Bacillota; Clostridia; Lachnospirales; Lachnospiraceae. The record is from RNAcentral.